GUGGACUUGUAUCGGUAGAAGUCCUUUCAAAAUAUGACCGUUGGGCUCAUUGUAUCGGUAGAUGUCCCCUUGAACCUGUAGAACUCUAAAGGUUUCAACUGGUAUCAGUAGAACCCAGUAGAGUAUCAGUAGAAGUGCAGAGAAGGCUAAACUUUGGCUACUACCUUGACUUGUUUUGGUAAAAGUUCUCAAGGUAUCGGUAGAACUCUGGUUG
This 214-nucleotide long non-coding RNA is filed under the name Gossypium barbadense (sea-island cotton). Its description in RNAcentral is "long non-coding RNA (GBAR_LNC016453)". Lineage: Eukaryota; Viridiplantae; Streptophyta; Magnoliopsida; Malvales; Malvaceae. The record is from RNAcentral.